RNAcentral lists this long non-coding RNA (243 nucleotides) under Physcomitrium patens. RNAcentral describes it as "long non-coding RNA (PPAT_LNC007491)". Lineage: Eukaryota; Viridiplantae; Streptophyta; Bryopsida; Funariales; Funariaceae. The record is from RNAcentral.
AAUUCUCAAGGUCAUUGAUUUUCUCCAAAACAGUCAAUCCAAAGUCAUAUUCCACAAUAUUCUAAUCACAGUUUCAACAAUACUUCUCUCAAUCACAAUUCUUCAUAAGAAAAUAAUAAAAGAAAAAAAAAACAAAGAGGUAGUACCAAGCUUACCUCGGCUUACGACUCUCACAGUCUGGCCCCCAUCUCUCUUUUCUCAACCUCUUUAUCUUACCAAAAGAUGGACCGUCGGCGAGCACAU